UUCCCUUCGGGGACAGUGGUGACAGGUGGUGCAUGGUUGUCGUCAGCUCGUGUCGUGAGAUGUUGGGUUAAGUCCCGCAACGAGCGCAACCCUUGAUCUUAGUUGCCAUCAUUUAGUUGGGCACUCUAAGGUGACUGCCGGUGACAAACCGGAGGAAGGUGGGGAUGACGUCAAAUCAUCAUGCCCCUUAUGACCUGGGCUACACACGUGCUACAAUGGACGGUACAAACGGUUGCCAACCCGCGAGGGGGAGCUAAUCCGAUAAAACCGUUCUCAGUUCGGAUUGUAGGCUGCAACUCGCCUACAUGAAGCCGGAAUCGCUAGUAAUCGCGGAUCAGCAUGCCGCGGUGAAUACGUUCCCGGGUCUUGUA
RNAcentral lists this ribosomal RNA (371 nucleotides) under Ureibacillus massiliensis. RNAcentral describes it as "bacterial SSU rRNA". It matches the Rfam family "Bacterial small subunit ribosomal RNA", at positions 1014 to 1385 of the family's 1533-position model. The record is from RNAcentral. Lineage: Bacteria; Bacillati; Bacillota; Bacilli; Caryophanales; Caryophanaceae.